RNAcentral lists this ribosomal RNA (253 nucleotides) under uncultured bacterium. RNAcentral's name for it is "partial 16S ribosomal RNA". It matches the Rfam family "Bacterial small subunit ribosomal RNA", at positions 524 to 776 of the family's 1533-position model. The record is from RNAcentral.
CACGUAGGGCGCGAGCGUUGUCCGGAAUUAUUGGGCGUAAAGAGCUCGUAGGCGGCCUGUUGCGUCCGCUGUGAAAGCCCGGGGCUUAACCCCGGGUCGGCAGUGGAUACGGGCAGGCUAGAGGUAGGUAGGGGAGAAUGGAAUUCCCGGUGUAGCGGUGAAAUGCGCAGAUAUCGGGAGGAACACCGGUGGCGAAGGCGGCGACCUGGGUAGAUACUGACGCUGAGGUGCGAAAGCGUGGGGAGCAAACAGG